This 213-nucleotide unclassified non-coding RNA is filed under the name plant metagenome. Its description in RNAcentral is "partial contains small subunit ribosomal RNA, internal transcribed spacer 1, and 5.8S ribosomal RNA". The record is from RNAcentral.
UUUCCGUAGGUGAACCUGCGGAAGGAUCAUUAAAAAUGAAGCCGGGAAACCGGUCCUUCUCACCCUUGAUUAUCUCAAAUUGUUGCUUUGAUGGGCCGCGCAAGCACCGGCUUCGGCUGGAUCGUGCCCGCCAGAGGACCACAACUCUGUAUUAUAUGUCGUCUGAGUACUAUAAAAUAGUUAAAACUUUCAACAACGGAUCUCUUGGUUCUG